AGGGCGUAUGGUGGAUGCCUUGGCAGACAGGACCGAUGAAGGACGUUUGAGGCUGCGAUAUGCCUCGGGGAGCCGCCAACAGGGCUUUGAUCCGAGGAUUUCCGAAUGGGGGAACCCACCGACCGUCAUGGGUCGGUACCGGCUUCGGCCGGGGGGUACGCAGGGAAGUGAAACAUCUCAGUACCUGCAGGAAAGGAUAUUCCGUGAGUAGUGGCGAGCGAAAGCGGAUGAUGGCCAAACCUUGCGCGUGUGAUACCCGUCGGGGGUUGCGCGCGGGGUGUUGCGGGAUCGCGUGCGCCGGCUCCGACGGGCCGGCCGGCAGUUGCAGAAAACCAUGUGUCAGGGGAACCGGGUUGAAUACCGGGCCGCAGAGGGUGAGGGCCCCGUACCUGAACGCGCAUGGUCUGCCGAUCGCGUCUCCCAAGUAGCACGGGUCCCGUGGAACCCCGUGCGAAUCCGCCCAGACCGUUGGGUAAGCCUGAAUAUUCCUGUCUGACCGAUAGCGAACGAGUACCGUGAGGGAAAGGUGAAAAGUACCCCGGGAGGGGAGUGAAACAGUCUCUGAAACCGUGCGCCUACAAUCCGUCGGAGCCCUUUUGUGGGGUGACGGCGUGCCUAUCGAAAAAUGAGUCUGCGAGUCAGUGGCAUGUGGCGAGCAUAACCCGUGUGGGGUAUGCGUAGCGAAGGCGAGUCUUAAAAGGCGUUUGAGUCGCGUGUCCUGGACCCGAAGCGGGAUGAUCUAGCCCUGAGCAGGUUGAAGCGCGGGUAAGACCGCGUGGAGGACCGAACCCACCUGGGUUGAAAACCGGGGGGAUGACUUGGGGCUAGGGGUGAAAGGCCAAUCAAAUUCCGUGAUAGCUGGUUCUCUCCGAAAUGCAUUUGGGUGCAGCGUCGGGUCAUUACGUCCCGGGGGUAGAGCUACUGGAUGCUUGCGGGCCCGUAUCGGGUACCAACAGCAACCAAACUCCGAAUACCGGUGACGCGUAUCCCGGCAGUGAGUCGGCGGGGGAUAAGCUUCGUCGUCGAAAGGGAAACAGCCCAGACCGUCGUCUAAGGUCCCGAAGCGUGUGCUAAGUGGGAAAGGAUGUGGAGUCGCAUAGACAGCCAGGAGGUUGGCUCAGAAGCAGCCACCCUUGAAAGAGUGCGUAACAGCUCACUGGUCUAGUGGUUCCGCGCCGACAAUGUAGCGGGGCUCAAGCACACCACCGAAGACGCGGCAGUAUUUUGUACUGGGUAGGAGAGCGUCCCAUGAGGGGCGAAGCGGCCGUGUGAACGCGCCGUGGACUUCAUGGGAGUGAGAAUGCAGACAUGAGUAGCGAGAGACGGGUGAAGAUCCCGUCCGCUGGAUGACCAAGGGUUCCAGGGCCACGUUCAUCGUCCCUGGGUGAGUCGGGUCCUAAGGCGAGGCCGACAGGCGUAGUCGAAUGGAUGAACGGGUCGAUAUUCCCGUACCGGCUUUCAGCCGCCAAAACCGAGGCUUGGAGUACUAACCUCCGGGUCCGGGCUUACUGCUCCUUCGGGGGCGGGAUGCCCUGGCCUGUUGGGACCGAUCCUUGUAGUAGGUCAGCGCAGGAGUGACGCAGAAGGGUAGCCGGCCGCGGAGGUGGUCUUCCGUGGUCAAGCACGCAGGGCGUGGGACAGGCAAAUCCGUCCCGCAUGGGUCCGAGGUGCGAUGAUGGGGGCCUUAUGGCCCGAUAUCCGGUGAUCCCGGCUGCCGAGAAAAGCUUCGGCGUCAGGCUCGAAGCCGCCCGUACCCCAAACCGACACUGGUGGUCAGGUAGAGAAUACCAAAGCGAUCGAGCGAAUCCUGGUCAAGGAACUCGGCAAAUCACUCCCGUUCCUUCGGUUUAAGGGAGACCCCCGAUGGUGAACACACUUGCUGUGGGAGCUUUUGGGGGUGGCACAGACCAGGGGGUAGCGACUGUUUACCAAAAACACAGGUGCAUGCGAAGGCGCAAGCCGCUGUAUAUGCACUGACGCCUGCCCGGUGCCGGAAGGUUAAGAGGAUCCGUCAGCCUUCGGGUGAAGCGGUGAAUUCAAGCCCCGGUAAACGGCGGUGGUAACUAUAACCAUCCUAAGGUAGCGAAAUUCCUUGUCGGGUAAGUUCCGACCUGCACGAAUGGCGUAACGACUUCCCCACUGUCUCGACCAGGAGCUCGGCGAAAUUGCAGUACGAGUAAAGAUGCUCGUUAAGCGCAGAAGGACGAAAAGACCCCGGGACCUUUACUAUACCUUGGUAUUGGCAUUCGGUGUGGAUUGUGUAGCAUAGGCGGGAGGCCGAGAGGCGCGGUCGCCAGAUCGCGCGGAGCCGUAAGGUGAAAUACCGCUCUGUUCGCAUUGGAUGU
This 2345-nucleotide ribosomal RNA is filed under the name human gut metagenome. RNAcentral's name for it is "bacterial LSU rRNA". It matches the Rfam family "Bacterial large subunit ribosomal RNA", at positions 14 to 2221 of the family's 2925-position model. The record is from RNAcentral.